RNAcentral lists this ribosomal RNA (255 nucleotides) under uncultured bacterium. Its description in RNAcentral is "partial 16S ribosomal RNA". It matches the Rfam family "Bacterial small subunit ribosomal RNA", at positions 793 to 1055 of the family's 1533-position model. The record is from RNAcentral.
GUCCACGCCGUAAACGAUGGAUACUAGCUGUUGGGGGCAACUUCAGUGGCUAAGCGAAAGUGAUAAGUAUCCCACCUGGGGAGUACUGGCGCAAGCCUGAAACUCAAAGGAAUUGACGGGGGCCCGCACAAGCGGUGGAGCAUGUGGUUUAAUUCGAUGAUACGCGAGGAACCUUACCAAGGCUUAAAUGUAGACUGACCGGUUUGGAAACAGACCUUUCGCAAGACAGUUUACAAGGUGCUGCAUGGUUGUCGU